Molecule: ribosomal RNA, 1289 nt
Filed under: Sphyraena novaehollandiae
Lineage: Eukaryota; Metazoa; Chordata; Actinopteri; Sphyraenidae
Description: partial 16S ribosomal RNA
Rfam family: Bacterial large subunit ribosomal RNA
Source: RNAcentral
CCUUUUGCAUCAUGAUUUAGCCAGUAAACUCAAGCAAAGAGUACUUUAGUUUGAGACCCCGAAACUAAGGGAGCUACUCCAAGACAGCCUAUUUAUAGGGCAAACCCGUCUCUGUAGCAAAAGAGUGGGAAGAGCUUUGAGUAGAGGUGACAGACCUACCGAACUUAGUUAUAGCUGGUUGCCUGAGAAUUGAAUAGCAGUUCAGCCUUCCGGAUUCUCCCUUCAACACUGCAAUUGUGCUUAUAUAGAUAUAAGAGAAACCGCCAGAGUCAGUCAAAGGGGGUCCAGCCCCUUUGAACCAAGACACAGCUUUUUCAGGAGGGUAAAGAUCAUAACAAACCAAAGAAAUAAUGUUCUGGUGGGCCUAAAAGCAGCCAUCCUAACAAAAAGCGUUAAAGCUUAGACAUUAAAUCAUCUUCUAAUUAUUCCGAUAAUUAAAUCUUACCCCCCUAGCCUUAUCAGGCCCCCCUAUGCCGCCAUAGGAGUGAUAAUGCUAAUAUGAGUAAUAAGAGGUACCUCCCCCUCUCCUUGCACACGUGUAAAUCGGAACGGACCCGCACCGAAUAUUAACGGCCCCAAAAAAAGAGGGAAUUGAAAAAUUAACUAGACAAACCAGAAAACCCCACAACACACCACCGUUAACCCCACACUGGUGUGCCUUCAAGGAAAGACUUAAAGAAAGAGAAGGAACUCGGCAAACACUUAGCCUCGCCUGUUUACCAAAAACAUCGCCUCUUGUAUUACCCAAAUAAGAGGUCUAGCCUGCCCACUGACUAUAUGUUCAACGGCCGCGGUAUUUUGACCGUGCAAAGGUAGCGUAAUCAUUUGUCUUUUAAAUGAAGACCAGUAUGAAAGGCACCACGAGGGCUCGACUGUCUCCUCUUUCAGGUCAAUGAAAUUGAUCUCCCCGUGCAGAAGCGGGGAUAAUACCAUAAGACGAGAAGACCCUAUGGAGCUUUAGACGAUGGGAUAGACCAUGUUAAUUACCCCUAUAUAAAGGACGGAACCUAGUGAGAACUACCACAAUGUCUUAGGUUGGGGCGACCAUGGAGUAACAAAAAUCCUCCACGCGGAAUGGGAGCAUUACUAUUUACAUCACUAUCGUUACCUAACCCCCACUACUCCCAAAAUUAAGGGCUACAGCCCUAGCUAACAGAAUUUCUGACCUAAAUUGAUCCGGCAACGCCGAUUAACGGACCAAGUUACCCUAGGGAUAACAGCGCAAUCCCCUUUUAGAGCCCAUAUCGACAAGGGGGUUUACGACCUCGAUGUUGGAUCAGGACAUCCUA